AAGAACUGCUAGGCUGGGUUACAAAACACCAUCAGAAAACAUGACACCUCACGCUGGCGUCCUAAGCCUCCACAGACUCCACGUGAUUAGGGCCACCAUUCUGAGUCGCUCAUGCUGUGAAGACACCCAAACUGGCCCAUGUGGAAAGGAAGAAAGAGGGAAUGGAAGGAAGGUGGGAGGAAGUUAUUCCAAUACUACUCACUUCUUCGAGCCUCCUAACAGGGCUGCUCUGUAGACCAGGCUGGCCUCUCUCUCCCAAGUGCUGGGAUUAAAGGCAUGUACAAAGAGGCAAAGAGGACUCUCUAGUCUUCACGUGAAGGAGUUCUUCUGGCACACGCAUCUGCAGCUCUUCCUGCCUUGUGAACAGGGACUGAGAAAACCAAGAGAACCAGCCUAUCUCGUGUGGACAGGAAACAUGAGAUCUGUUUCUAUGGAAGCUAAGGUCAAAGCAGAGCACGGCCGAUACCAGGGUGUUUCAGCAAGUAAGACAAGCCUGGGAGCUGGUAAUUGAUCUCAAUUUCUAAAGAACAAGGACAGUGAAGAUGAAUAGUGCAGUUUAUGAGUCUUCCUUUGUUAUAUACAUUGACGCUGUGCUCAGAACAGAUCUGCAAUGACUCGUUUUAUGAAGCAAACUCAUUAUGUGUUCAUAGUUUGUCUGAAAUAUAUUUAAAAUCCUCUCAGUCAUUUUUAGGUAAAUCCUAUUUAUGUAAGAUUUAUAUUUAAGUUCUAAACUAACAUACAUACCUGUAUGGACUUUAAAACACUCUGUCU
This is a long non-coding RNA of Microtus oregoni (creeping vole), 771 nucleotides long. RefSeq lists it as uncharacterized. The transcript has 3 exons. The record is from RefSeq and is a predicted model, not a curated record. Lineage: Eukaryota; Metazoa; Chordata; Mammalia; Rodentia; Cricetidae.